Molecule: long non-coding RNA, 2824 nt
Organism: Dreissena polymorpha
Lineage: Eukaryota; Metazoa; Mollusca; Bivalvia; Myida; Dreissenidae
Exons: 3
Source: RefSeq, a predicted model, not a curated record
UUUAUGCAUACUGUUAUCUUGCAACAGUUUUUCAAAAAUAAAUCAAUUGUGAAAAAGCGAGUGUAAAUUUCUGAAAAUAAUGUGACCUUAUUGUAAGCGUCGUCGUCGUCAGCGGUGGUUCGUUGGUCCCAGCCGUUGUCGGAUUAUGGCGAAAUUAGACGGCCGUUCGAUUCCCUAACAUUUUUAAAUCCCGUCCAGCGACGGAUACCCGUGGAAAUUUACAACUUCCACAAAAUUCUGGAGGGAGGAUUUAUUAAACACCGACCAUCGUUUUCAGUGAUUGUUCCACUACAUGACGAAGAGGAAAAUUAAUGCGGACCUAUUAUUGCUAUUUUGAUUUUAAUUUUCUUAGUAAUAGUAGUCGUUAUUAUGUACUGUGUAGCGUUCGUUUGCAAAAUGGCACUGAAGUAUAUAAACUAAAGAUCACCAGACAGUACUUGCACACACAUGUGAAUUGUUUUUAUGGAAAUGUGUAAACUAACAUUAAAGGUCCAUUCCACCACGACCUCAUGGGAUAAUUUCUUCGCUUCGCAACACUAAACCGUUGGUUUUAAGUGCAAUAACCAUCGCGGCCUUAAAUUAUGUCUUUAAUGAUGUGUGUAAACGUUGGACAAGCGAGUUUAUAAAUUAUCAAAGUCCGGAUUGCUCGUCGAUAGCAAUUCACAAUAAAUACAUUAAUUUGCAGACGAACACGUCGGGAGGUCUAUCAAAUCAAGUGUUAUUUACGGAAAAAAACAUUACUACCUGGUUUCCCACAAAUCGCAAUACAUUUUAGCAAAGAAUUCAUUACAUAUCAUCUUAUCGGUGAAAAUUCGGUCACUUUCUCAAAAGACAACACUGCAGAGAAAAGACGCGAAUGCAUGAUGAGCCAAACAUGUUGCGAUUCAGUCUUGCAGAAGACAAAAACAAGAAGUGGCGUAUACAACUUGUAAAGUGACGUCAGAUGCCUAGGUGUGGGAACCGUAAGGCGACAUUGCAGCGUCUAUUGACGAUCCAGCUCUGAUAGAUAUGUAUUUGGAUGCUUCGCUACAACCUCUGUGAAAUGUGCAUAGUGACGGUAUUUAACUCAGUCUGUUACAUACGAACUGGACUCCAUUAAUGAUAGCAGUUUCGGCAGGUCGCAUGCAGAUAGUAUCGAGCUUGAUUUUACACGGAGCCUAAAUGAAUGCAGUGAAUCAAACAGGACAGUGCGGUCUUCACUAUGCAGCAUCAAAGGACAGAUAUGAGCUAGCUGAAAAGCUAUUACAAAACGGUGCAGACAUUGAUGUAGGUGACCAGUUCAACAGCACACCUCUUCAUCGCAAGGCCAUUUAAAAUGGUCAAGCUCCUGCUUCAACAUCAGCCUGAUGUAAAUGUCAAAGACUUUAGCGGACACACUCCCUUGUACAUAUCAUGAUUUGUAGAGGGGCUGUACACAUUUGUAGGAAAAUUAUAUACAAUGACAUCUUUUGAUUAAAAAAAACGAUUUCAUUAUGUUCAGGAAAUUGUCUGAAUUCUCAUAUGUAUAUUUGCUUUUUUGGAUGAAAUGAUGUUUGUCUCAAGAUUGAAUAUAAUGACAAAUUACCGACAACAUUCUUGGAAGUCGACCCGCCUAGCAAGACCCGCCUAGUGGGUAAGAAAAGAGACCUUUUACUAUAUCUAGAAAACAGACUUUAACCUUUAACAGACUUUAGUCUUUAACCUAUUUUCUUCUGGAUACUGAUGAUAUCAAAAACACAUUGAACAUAUAUAAGCCUCGUUUAGGGAAAACUGGUCUAAAUUCAUGUGCGUCAAGUGUCAUCCCAAACCCUGUGCAGACUGGGACGACAAGGACGACACUUUCCAUCUAGACUGGGUUUUCGUUUAGAAGAGACUUUCUUUAAACGAAAAAUUCCGUAAACGCGGAAUGUGUCGUCCCUGAUUAGUCUGUGCCGACUGAACAGGCUAAUCUGGGACAACACUUUUAGCACAUGCAUUUAGCCCAGUUUUCCCAGAACGAGGCUCAUAUGAGUUUUCAGGUUAGGUCACAGUGACACAAAUGUCUUUUUUGUGAGGUAUUUGUAUUAAAUAUGAUAUGUGACCUGUUUUCCAUAUCGCAGACACCUGGCUUGUGAGAAAGAGAGGUCUGAAGUCAGUCGGCUACUGAUUGCACAUUGGACCUAUGCGACAAUAUUAAACAAGUUAUACAAGAUCUUCAUUGUAGACUUAACUGUAUUCUUUUCACUCACCCGAGUUUAUAACGAUGAGCUUUUGAUGUCAGCAGUUGAUCUUGUAGAUGGCCGUCAUCAUAAAUAACCUUAUAAUCUCAUCUGAAACUAUUUGGUAUAAAAUAACAAAACUUUGUUUGAAUGUUCCUUGUUUAUCUACCAAAAUACGUCUGUUGAUUUUGAAUUUCCUGAUGAGGUCAUCUACCACAACACUUUGAAAAAACAAGGCAAACAUGCAGUCUGUUGUUUUUUUGUAUUGAUUCCACAUUAAACUCUAUUUAGUCACUCAGUGUCAUAUUUAUAUGUUUGUUUUAAAACUUCCGGAAACAUGCCUUGACUAAAAUAAUGAAUAAACACUCUUAAACAAAAUGCAAAAUCUGACUUUGUAUUAAUUUAGUGCUUUUUAAAUUGUUGACCAAGAUUGAUAUUCGUUGUGGUACAUGAUCUGAAGCAUUUAUAAAUGAACAUGCCUUCCGUUCUUAACCUUAGUGCACACUUUUUAUUUGGUAUAAGAUCUGUAUUAAAAACAACAAAAAACAACAAUUUAUUGGAUAAAGGGGGAAGGGUAACUCCAAAUGUGAUUCCAAUUGUCAAACAUAAUCCAUUUGAUAAAAUAAUAAAAUUACCAUCCGAUACAU